This is a long non-coding RNA of Gasterosteus aculeatus aculeatus (three-spined stickleback), 1805 nucleotides long. The record is from Ensembl. NCBI's taxonomy places the organism in Eukaryota, Metazoa, Chordata, Actinopteri, Perciformes, Gasterosteidae.
GUUGGUUAUCGUUUAUAACUUUAUCUUAAUACCGCAGCGUUUCUAGUUAUUUAUUUUUUUACUUCUGCUUAUUUGGGGUCGAUUGUUAUUAGUCUGUUCAGCGCGAGGGAGGCGGGGUAGUUCGCAGCGGAUUCUUCUUGUGCGUUUCAUCUUUGACAAACAAUUAAAGUGGCACAGGGACGUUGUUUGUGUUGGUGACUUUCUAACGUGGACAUUGGUCAUUUGAUUCAUUAUGGGAAACCGGUUUGGAAAAGAGCGAGAAACUAACAAUGCUGAGACUGCUGAAGAAGCAAAGACUGCAGAGGAGUCAGAAGCUGGACAACCAGCGGAGGACUCUGGGAUAACUCAAACUCAAACUCAGGAUCUAGAUGUCCAGAUUCUGGGGCAGGUGGCGCAAGUGGCGCGUUCCAUCACUGAAAAAUUGGUGUUGAACAGUGGAGUGGAGGAGGAUGCUGAGCCCGUGGCGAAGGAAACACCAGCUCCAGUCCAAUCCGAGCCUCUGGUCUCACUUGGCAAAUCAUCAGCUCCAGAUUUAGAACCUGUUGCUGAAGCUCCGCUGGCUACAGAGCCAGUUCCUGAACCACUGCCCGCACCAGAGCCAGUUUCCACACCAGAGCCAGUUCCAGAACCAGAUCCAGUUGCCGAACCACUGCCUGAACCAGAGCCAGUCUCCAAAACGGUUCCAGUUCCUGAACCAGAGGCAGAAGUUGAGGUAGUCUCUGAACCCAUUUCAGAGUUGGUGCCGGCGGGAGCUGAGGCCGCAGAGCUGAAGACGGACCUCCUCAGCCAAGAGUCUCUCCCCGAGCCACAGAUUUCUUCUCCAGCACCUUUGAUCAACCCAUGCGCCCCCGAAGAAGAUGCCCGACCCGUUGACAUUCCUCCCGCCCCAGCUCCGGUCGAAGCGAAGGAGCCGGCAGACAACCCGGCGACCGAGGAAUUCCAAAACAGCGCUGAGGUCUCGGCCAUUCCCACGUUUGAGCCUGAAAACGGCGAGGAGGCGUCCGAGUCAGGGGAAAAGGCGAUGGAGGGGAAGGGUGGAGUGCAUUUGGAGCAGCAUGUGUGUGACGUCAGCGACGAGGGUCUCAGUGGACUGCUGAAGAACUUGGAGCUGAAAGGAAACGACCUUGUCGCUGACCUCAUUCCGGCCGACGUCCAGAUUCCCGACGACGUGAGCACUUCCACCGAGCUGAUGUGAAGGUGCGGCAGUGAAAGGAUGUUAUAUCUGUGAAGCCCUCGUAACCCCUAACGUGAAUUCCAAAAGAAGCUGGGAUGCAAUGUUUCUUUCUCUCUCACCUAAGUGGCCUAAUAAAGGCAAAAAUGUCUCUAUCUAAAUGAACGUGUGCCAAAAAAAGGUGUAUUGUCUGGGCUUUAUUAUGAGUGUACUUGUGUGUAUUGCUGGACAACAGAGAUCUUCCUCUAUGCAAAUGCACCAGGCAAGAAUUUUAACCAAAUUUCUUUAAGAGAAAAGAAGCCAUUGCUAUACGAUAACGCGGCAUAGAGAAAGCUGGAAGGGAAUCAUUUUGAUGUUCCUGAGUACAAAGGGAAAAGCAGAAGUGUCCUGAGGUAUGUCAGUCAGCAUCGGCAGGUAAAUCCAAAUCCAUAGGCAAGGGAUAGUAGCAAUGAAAAAGACAUUAUACUGUAUGCUAUUGAAAUACGAGUGUCUAGUGAACUAUUACGCCUUCACAUAAUCAUCUUUGAGCUUUUUGAAAUUCUGUGUCUUUCUUGUAUUCUAAUUUAACAAUGGGAAUUUUCUUUUUUUUUAACCUAAGUAGUGGCUUGCUUGUAAAAAUAAAAAUAUUAUUAUA